This 1068-nucleotide long non-coding RNA is filed under the name Pogona vitticeps (central bearded dragon). RNAcentral describes it as "lncRNA (ENSPVIG00000004775.1)". Lineage: Eukaryota; Metazoa; Chordata; Lepidosauria; Squamata; Agamidae. The record is from RNAcentral.
CACCUGAAAUGGGGCACCCCCUCCACAUGACGCUGACAUGGCCUGAGUCCAUUUGCCACCAGGUCAGGUCCAGAAGCCCCACAGGGGAGAAAGAAGGCACAUCCCUCCCUUCUUCCAUCCUCUGCCUCAGCCUAAUGGGAGCUGUAGUCUGGCAAUACUUUGGAUCUGGAGAUGAAAUUUGACUGUGGCUUCCUUAAGGGCACCUUCGGCUUCCCUGGAAAGCAAUGGGAGGAUUUCAGUGGUUUAGCUCAGUAGUUUUUAACCUUUGUUACUCUGAUGUUUUUGAACUGCAACUCCCAGAAACCCCAGCCAGCACAGUUGGUGGUGAAGGCUUCUCGGAGUUGCAGUCCAAAACUCCUGAGUAACCCAAGGUUAAGAACCAGUGGUUUAGCUGAUUUGCUCUGGUGUCUGAAGGGUGAGUGUGUGUGUGUGUGGGGGGGAAUGUAUUUUAACAUACUUUUUGAACCUUUCUAUUCCCUUCUCUUUUUUCCAGGUCAAGCCAUUCCUCAGCCUGCAGUCCCACCCACCCCCUCCUGCCUGCCACGGGGGACUCUCUUUCCUUACAGAGAAGACGCAGACUUUGAAAGAGGGCAGGAAAGGAAUGGAAGAAGAGAAGCAGAGACAUACUGACCCUUCCCCCUCCCACCCAACCUUUUCUUCCAAAGGAUCACCUCUUGCCUGCGUGACUGAGGGCAGCUCUGUUUUACUGUACGGCAGCCUCAAGCAUGAGUGACCUGGAAGAUGGUUGAUCAGCUGUUGGAAACUCAAGGUCAUGGCUUCCUUGAUGGAGUCUGUCUGUCUCACCUUCAGUCGUCCACUUCUCCUGCUACCUCCAACCUUUCCUACCAGGGAUGCUUGCACUGAGAAAGCAAAAUUGAAGGUCAUACUUCAUGGUAUUUUAUUUUAUUUUAUUUUUCUUCUGUCAGCAUCUGUUUUGUGGAUUACCAUUCAUCAGAGCCUGCACAUUUCUAAAAUCCCCUAGUAUGUUUUGUACGGAGGGCUAACCCCUUUUCUGACUUUUCCUGAUCUGCACUUUUAAAACAAUAAAUAUGCUUGUUUGUAAAGUCA